Molecule: ribosomal RNA, 282 nt
Filed under: Dorea formicigenerans
Lineage: Bacteria; Bacillati; Bacillota; Clostridia; Lachnospirales; Lachnospiraceae
Description: partial 16S ribosomal RNA
Rfam family: Bacterial small subunit ribosomal RNA
Source: RNAcentral
CACUUGAGGUGUGCCAGCCGCCGCGGUAAUACGUAGGGGGCAAGCGUUAUCCGGAUUUACUGGGUGUAAAGGGAGCGUAGACGGCUGUGCAAGUCUGAAGUGAAAGGCAUGGGCUCAACCUGUGGACUGCUUUGGAAACUGUGCAGCUAGAGUGUCGGAGAGGUAAGUGGAAUUCCUAGUGUAGCGGUGAAAUGCGUAGAUAUUAGGAGGAACACCAGUGGCGAAGGCGGCUUACUGGACGAUGACUGACGUUGAGGCUCGAAAGCGUGGGGAGCAAACAGG